UAAUACGAAGGGGGCAAGCGUUGUUCGGAAUUACUGGGCGUAAAGGGCGCGUAGGCGGUGCUCUAAGUCAGGCGUGAAAGCCCUGGGCUCAACCCGGGAAUUGCGCUUGAUACUGGAGCGCUUGAAUCCAGGAGAGGUUGGUGGAAUUCCCAGUGUAGAGGUGAAAUUCGUAGAGAUUGGGAAGAACACCGGUGGCGAAGGCGGCCAACUGGACUGGUAUUGACGCUGAGGCGCGAAAGCGUGGGGAGCAAACAGGAUUAGAUACCCUGGUAGUCCACGCUGUAAACGAUGUGUGCUAGCCGUUGGGGCUCUUAGAGCUUCGGUGGCGUCGCUAACGCUUUAAGCACACCGCCUGGGGAGUACGGUCGCAAGAUU
This 375-nucleotide ribosomal RNA is filed under the name uncultured bacterium. Its description in RNAcentral is "bacterial SSU rRNA". It matches the Rfam family "Bacterial small subunit ribosomal RNA", at positions 521 to 895 of the family's 1533-position model. The record is from RNAcentral.